ACCAUAAGUUUAGUUGCCGGGCGACUCUCACACUCGUAGCGAGUUUAAUUCUAGACAUCGAUAAAAUUUAACUCGAGUAACGAGUGCUCUCUGCGACAGCAAAAGUCUCGAGAUCUAAAAUCGACCACUGAAUCUACAUGUGCGAAAGAAAUAUGUAAUACAGUGUUCUUCACUCGAUCAUGAAGAAUUAAUUAAAAUAUAAUUAUUGAUAUAUUUUAUCAGUGUUUGAAGUUCAUAUAGAAAAGACAAUGUUUGUUAAGUGUUCUAGAUACUACUAACGACUAAAUAAAAACAUAGUACACGAAAAAAUAAGUGACGUUUACUUUAUAUGAUUCAAAAAUUCUGCAAAAAGUCUGCAAGAUUACAAAAAUUGCAAAUAUUUUUUAACGUGAAAACCGUACAACGUCUGGCGAAAUUGAGGACAAGUGACGGAAAUUGAUGCCAAGUGUGAUAAUAAACGAAAAAAAUAGAGAAUAAGAUUUCUUCACGGGCACCUCAAUUUUCAAGAAAAUUGAAUUCGCCUGUCAAACAUAAACGUGUCAACACACAAACGAGCGUUACGAGCGUAAAUUUUACAAACGAAAGAAAGCUACGACUGGAGUGACGUCGUGUGCCGAAAUUAAAAUCCAAGGAGGCUAGCAACGGCUCUUCAAUAACAUCCAUCAGCGUCCAUCGGAAUUCAGCGUGAAUAGAAAAAAGAGGAGGAAGAGAAAUCUUGAUACGAUCCGCAGACAAAUGGCGGGAGAGUGUCGUUCGAAUCAUUACGUAAAAUACGAACACGAGUGUUAAAAUGUGCCGAAGCGAGCGAUGAUUAAGCAGACGACCGACACAGUAACGACACGUCGAGUAUACACACACUGUCGACGAUCGAGCCGCGGCCAAGAAUUAGUCUGCACGUCAAAUUCGACUUGAGACGAUAUCGCGAAAAAGUGGAACAUGGCUAGCCUGGUAGCUGCUGAUUACGCGGUGAUCGUCGUGACGAUGCUGAUUAGUUCGGGAAUCGGUGUGUACUAUUGGCUCACCGGAGGAAAGCAGAGAUCGACGGAUGAGUACUUCAUGGCGGACAGAUCGAUGCGAGUGGCACCGGUCGCAAUUGGUUUAAUGGUUUCGUAUCUAUCUGCGGUUAGUUUGCUUGGAGUAAGUUCAGAAACGUACGUGUACGGUACCCAGUACGCAGUGAUCAACAUUUCUUACGGAAUUGCUACCCCAUUCGUCGCUUAUUUGUACAUGCCGAUGUUUUUCAAGCUUGGACAUGCCAGUGCUUUUGAGUACCUGCACAAACGUUUCGGCAAGGCGGCGAGGAUGGCGGGAAGCUUUGCCUUUAUACUUCAACUACUUUUGUACAGCGGCGUGGUAUUGUACGCGCCCGCGCUUGCUUUGGAAGCUACCACAGGCAUCUCGACAGCCGCGAGCGUAAUCGGCAUGGGAUUAAUCUGCACGUUUUAUUCGACGAUCGGCGGCAUCAAGGCGGUCCUCGUCACCGACAUGUUUCAAGGCCUGUUAAUGCUGAUAGCUGUGAUCCUGGUGAUCGCCACAGCAGCCGUGAACGCCGGCGGUCUCGAUCAGAUAUGGGAAAUCGCUCGUCAAGGAUCGCGGAUAGAAUUCGACAGCAUUUCAAUGGACCCAACGGUGCGACACACCUGGUGGAGCUUGACAUUUGGCGGUUUCUUCACCUACCUCUCCUUGUACGGCACCAACCAAGUUCAAGUUCAAAGAAUGUUAACCAUCAAAAACGUGAGAGACGCGCAAACUGCCAUUUGGUGGAGCUGGCCGUUGUCCUCGCUGAUGUCCUUGAGCCUGUGCCUCGCCGGUUUGGCCAUAUACGCGCAGUAUCGCGACUGCGAUCCUCUUCAGACAGGAAGGAUCAACUCGUACGAUCAAUUAAUGCCGCUUUACGUGAUGGACAUGCUCUCCGCGUAUCCAGGUGUGCCGGGACUUUUUAUUGCUGGCAUCUUCAGCGCUGGACUCAGCACCAUCUCCGCCACGGUGAAUUCCCUGGCCGCCGUUAUACUCGAGGAUUUUAUCAAACCAGUGUACCAACGUCGGGACAAAGAGAUUACCGCAACCGGAUCGAUCAUUGUCAGCAAGGUUCUGGCUGUUAUGGUCGGCAUUGCCUGCAUAGGACUGGCGUUUAUGGGUCAAUUUCUUGGCGGGCUUCUUCAGGCUGCUUUAACGAUUUUCGGCGUGGUCGGUGGCCCGGUGUUCGGCAUGUUCACGCUGGGCAUGUUCACGCGGUUGGGAAACCAGAGAGGAGCCAUCGUCGGCCUGUUGACUAGCCUCGUUUUCUCUUUAUGGAUCGGUUUCGGCCAGCCGAAGCCACCGAUUCCAAACAAAGUGAACGUCAACGGCUCGGACUGCGGCUACGCCGAUGCAUAUUACGAUCACGAGAAAUCGUCGAAUUUGCAUUUCGAAUACCAGCAAAGUGACGAUGAUUCAUACUUCUAUUUGUACCGCGUUUCAUACAUGUGGUAUUGCCCACUGGGAAGUGUGAUCAGUUUCGCGAUAGGAUGGAUCUCCAGUUGGAUCUCGAAUUUAAUUCUGGGCGAGGAGUCCCGUGAUCUGGAUCCAGAUCUUUUCGCGUCGUGUCUGUGUAAAAAUGGAUCGAAACGUUUGGACAAAUUCGACAGCACCGUGGCACCAAAAUAGUAGCACGGGCAGUGAAAAUCCGGUUCGAGAAGUGAAUAUGUUAAUAGGAUGGAGGCAAGAAGUAUUGGAAAUUAUCUCAUGUUUGAUCUCAAGCAGUUACAAUGUACACUUAAAUUCAACAUAACGACUUCAGUUGAGCCUAACGAUGGAAAAUACGUUGUAAUACGCGGCGAAUGUUAGUCGAAUCCACGCGGACGAGAUAACCGCCAUUAUUUUAUGAAAAAAAUGUCUUUGCUAUGCUACUAUGGCCAUCAUUCUACGUGUCGCGCUUAUGAAUAAAAAGGAACGAUUGGUAUUUUCUGCCGUAAAGUUAGAAAUCACCGUCGAUGUUGAGCUCGUAAAGAAUUC
RNA transcript from Frieseomelitta varia, 2994 nucleotides. It is a transcript of the gene named putative sodium-dependent multivitamin transporter, with no coding region annotated. The transcript is spliced from 9 exons. The record is from RefSeq and is a predicted model, not a curated record. NCBI's taxonomy places the organism in Eukaryota, Metazoa, Arthropoda, Insecta, Hymenoptera, Apidae.